Long non-coding RNA from Felis catus (domestic cat), 1054 nucleotides. RefSeq lists it as uncharacterized. The record is from RefSeq and is a predicted model, not a curated record. NCBI's taxonomy places the organism in Eukaryota, Metazoa, Chordata, Mammalia, Carnivora, Felidae. The transcript has 6 exons.
AAAUGGUAGCUCCAAAAAUAUACAUCCAUAUACUACUUCUUGGAACCUGUGAAUAUUGCCUUAUCAGAAAAAGGAUCUUUUCAGAUGUAACUAAGAAUUUUGAGAAAAAGAUUAUCAUCCUGGAUGGGUCCUAAAUCCAAUGACACAUGUCCUUCUAAGAGCAAAGUAUAGAGAGAUUUGAGACUGAAGUGGGCAGAGGACAAGGCCAUGUGAGAAUAAAGGCAAAGACUGGAGUAAGGCAACCCCAAGCUGAAAGAGAUACCAAAAAGGUCAGUGAUUCUCAAGCAAACAGCUCCCUCCACUGGCUCAACCAUCAUCAUAUGCUCUGAAGUCUCAAGUCCCUUGAAUUCCCCUCCUACCAAGUUUGCAUAUAGACCACAGAAUGCUAGGGCUGCUUGAGAAUUGAGAAACACCGAAUUAAAAAAGGUUCUACAGCCAGCAUGGAGCUGAAUGCAGUGCUUGAACUCACAACCUUGCAAUAAAUACCUGCGCUGAGAUCAAGAGUUGGACACUCAACAAACUUACUGUAUUGUAUUGCAUUCUGCCUCCAACUUCACUGCCUACAUUUUCUUUGACUGGCCUUCUUUGAUCACUUCCUAUGGCAGAUUUUUAGUAUCACCCCCACUUCUCCAUUUAAGUUGGAAUGUUCUUUGCAGCUGAAAUGUACACACCAGUAACACACAUUUUGCCAGAGUUGGAAAAAAAAUAAGAAGGUUAAAUCUCACUCUUGAAAGUCCUUCAAAGAAAGGAAAGUUGUGGUGACAAUGUUGACCUUUGCCUGAGACCUAUGCUUGGAAACCAGAAAAGGUUAAGACACCCUCCCAAUCAUCUGUGUUCAGAGAAACUGAAAAAGACUACCCUUCCCAUGCAUAUGGGAUCUUCAUAAGGCAAAUGAAACCUGCAACUGUCCUGACAGGACCUCCAGCCAUCCCAGACCACCCAGACCAGUUUGAGCUUAACCCCCGACUGGCACCUGCACAGACCAUGGAGUGACAUCUGGAAUGACCAACAAUUCCCUCUUCCUCAUUAUAAUAAUAAAAUCUCUAUCCAAGGA